This 434-nucleotide ribosomal RNA is filed under the name Enterobacter sp. BRM 034831. Its description in RNAcentral is "bacterial SSU rRNA". It matches the Rfam family "Bacterial small subunit ribosomal RNA", at positions 958 to 1392 of the family's 1533-position model. Lineage: Bacteria; Pseudomonadati; Pseudomonadota; Gammaproteobacteria; Enterobacterales; Enterobacteriaceae. The record is from RNAcentral.
AACGCGAAGAACCUUACCUACUCUUGACAUCCAGAGAACUUUCCAGAGAUGGUUUGGUGCCUUCGGGAACUCUGAGACAGGUGCUGCAUGGCUGUCGUCAGCUCGUGUUGUGAAAUGUUGGGUUAAGUCCCGCAACGAGCGCAACCCUUAUCCUUUGUUGCCAGCGGUCCGGCCGGGAACUCAAAGGAGACUGCCAGUGAUAAACUGGAGGAAGGUGGGGAUGACGUCAAGUCAUCAUGGCCCUUACGAGUAGGGCUACACACGUGCUACAAUGGCGCAUACAAAGAGAAGCGACCUCGCGAGAGCAAGCGGACCUCAUAAAGUGCGUCGUAGUCCGGAUUGGAGUCUGCAACUCGACUCCAUGAAGUCGGAAUCGCUAGUAAUCGUAGAUCAGAAUGCUACGGUGAAUACGUUCCCGGGUCUUGUACACACCG